Molecule: ribosomal RNA, 257 nt
Filed under: uncultured bacterium
Lineage: Bacteria
Description: partial 16S ribosomal RNA
Rfam family: Bacterial small subunit ribosomal RNA
Source: RNAcentral
UACGAAGGGGGCUAGCGUUGCUCGGAAUCACUGGGCGUAAAGGGGUGCGUAGGCGGGUCUUUAAGUCAGGGGUGAAAUCCUGGAGCUCAACUCCAGAACUGCCUUUGAUACUGAAGAUCUUGAGUUCGGGAGAGGUGAGUGGAACUGCGAGUGUAGAGGUGAAAUUCGUAGAUAUUCGCAAGAACACCAGUGGCGAAGGCGGCUUACUGGUCCGGAACUGACGCUGAGGUGCGAAAGCGUGGGGAGCAAACAGGGAU